This 497-nucleotide ribosomal RNA is filed under the name uncultured bacterium. RNAcentral's name for it is "partial 16S ribosomal RNA". It matches the Rfam family "Bacterial small subunit ribosomal RNA", at positions 28 to 507 of the family's 1533-position model. The record is from RNAcentral.
GAUGAACGCUGGCGGCGUGCCUAAUACAUGCCAGUCGAGCGAACGGACGAGAAGCUUGCUUCUCUGAUGUUAGCGGCGGACGGGUGAGUAACACGUGGAUAACCUACCUAUAAGACUGGGAUAACUUCGGGAAACCGGAGCUAAUACCGGAUAAUAUUUUGAACCGCAUGGUUCAAAAGUGAAAGACGGUCUUGCUGUCACUUAUAGAUGGAUCCGCGCUGCAUUAGCUAGUUUGUAAGGUAACGGCUUACCAAGGCAACGAUGCAUAGCCGACCGGAGGGGGGGAUCGGCCACCCGGGAACGUAGACACGGUCCAGACUCCUGCGGGAGGCAGCAGUAGGGAAUCUUCCGCAAUGGGCGAAAGCCUGACGGAGCAACGCCGCGUGAGUGAUGAAGGUCUUCGGAUCGUAAAACUCUAUUAUUAGGGAAGAACAUAUUUGUAAGUAACUGUGCACAUCUUGACGGUACCUAAUCAGAAAGCCACGGCUAACUACGUG